Molecule: long non-coding RNA, 1522 nt
Organism: Vidua macroura (Pin-tailed whydah)
Lineage: Eukaryota; Metazoa; Chordata; Aves; Passeriformes; Viduidae
Exons: 3
Source: RefSeq, a predicted model, not a curated record
CCUGGGGGCCACCCCGGGGGCAUCCCCCAGCCCCAAUUCCCGCUCUGGGCUCCCUGCCUUGGUCGUGGUCGGAGAUGGGAAGGGGAGGCCUCGCUCCAGGGAACCUCUUUGAGACCUGGGACGUUCCUGAGCUCCUGGGAAUCUUCCUAAAGCUCCUCAGGAUCUUCACGGAGGUUCCUGGGGUCUUUUGGAGCUCCUGGGGACGUUCCUGAGCUCCUGGGAAUCUUCCUGAAGCUCCUUGGGAUCUCCACGGAGGUUCCUGGGGCGUUUUGGAGCUCCUGGGAAUCUUCCUGAAGCUCCUCAGGAUCUUCACGGAGGUUCUUGGGGUCUUUUGGAGCUCCUGGGGACGUUCCUGAGCUCUUGGGAAUCUUCCUAAAGCUCCUUGGGAUCUUCACAGAGGUUCUUGGGGUCUUUUGGAGCUCCUGGGGAUGUUCCUGAGCUCUUGGGAAUCUUCCUAAAGCUCCUCAGGAUCUUCAUGGAGGUUCCUGGGGCAUUUUGGAGCUCCUGGGGACAUUCCUGAGCUCCUGGGAAUCUUUCUGAAGCUCCUCAGGAUCUCCACGGAGGUUCUUGGGGUGUUUUCGAGCUCAUGGCGACCUUCCUGAGCUCCACAGAGGUUCCUGGGUUCUUUUGGAGCUCACGGGGACGUCCCCAAGCUCCUCGAGGGGAUCUCCAUGGAGGUUCCUGGGUUCUUUUGGAGCUCACGGGGACCUUCCUGAGCUCCAUGGACGUUCUUGGGGUCUUUCGGAGCUCACGGGGACGUCCCCGAGCUCCCCGAGGGAAUCUCCAUGGGGGAUCUUGGAGUCUUUUGGUCAUGGGGACGUCCCCAAGCUCCCCGAGGGGAUCUCCAUGGAGGUUCCUGGGGCGUUUUGGAGCUCACGGGGACGUUCCUGAGCUCCACGGAGGUUCUUGGGGUCUUUUGGAGCUCACGGGGACGUCCCCGAGCUCCUCGAGGGGAUCUCCAUGGGGGAUCUUGGAGUCUUUUGCUCACGGGGACGUCCCCGAGCUCCCCGGGGAAUCUCCAUGGCGGUUCCUGGGUUCUUUUGGAGCUCAUGGGGACCUUCCUGAGCUCCAUGGGGGUUCCUGGGUUCUUUUGGAGCUCACGGGGACGUCCCCAAGCUCCUCGAGGGGAUCUCCAUGGAGGUUCCUGGGUUCUUUUGGAGCUCACGGGGACCUUCCUGAGCUCCAUGGGGGUUCCUGGGUUCUUUUGGUCACGGGGACGUUCCCAAGCUCCCCGAGGGGAUCUCCAUGGAUGUUCUUGGGUUCUUUUGGAGCUCACGGGGACGUCCCCAAGCUCCUCGAGGGGAUCUCCAUGGAGGUUCCUGGGUUCUUUUGGAGAUCAUGGGGACCUUCCUGAGCUCCAUGGAGGUUCCUGGGUUCUUUUGGAGCUCACGGGGAUGUUCCUGAGCUCCCCGAGGGGAUCUCCAUGGAGGUUCUUGGGGUCUUUUGGUCACGGGGACGUCCCUGAGGGAAUCUCCAUGGAGGUUCCUGGGUUCUUUUGCUCACGGGGACGUCCCCGCGCUCC